Hibiscus syriacus is the source of this 212-nucleotide long non-coding RNA. RefSeq lists it as uncharacterized. NCBI's taxonomy places the organism in Eukaryota, Viridiplantae, Streptophyta, Magnoliopsida, Malvales, Malvaceae. The record is from RefSeq and is a predicted model, not a curated record. The transcript has 3 exons.
AAUGGCUUUACUGCAGUAUCAGCGUGAAAAACUUCAUUUUCUGAGUGAGGAGGUUCUCCGAUUGCAAGAGUGCAUAAGCAAAUAUGAAGGAUCUAAUGAUGGAACCACACCUCAGGUCGAUCUUGCCCAUCUAUUAGCAGCACGUGAUCAAGAAUUGCGAACACUAUCAGCUGAGGUACACUAGUUAAUAUUGGAAACAUGAAAAUUUGCGG